This 400-nucleotide ribosomal RNA is filed under the name uncultured archaeon. RNAcentral's name for it is "bacterial SSU rRNA". It matches the Rfam family "Archaeal small subunit ribosomal RNA", at positions 19 to 391 of the family's 1478-position model. The record is from RNAcentral.
GGACCCCACUGCUAUCGGGAUAGGACUAAGACAUGCUAGUCGAGCGCCUUCUAGCCAUGAUGAGGGCGCGGCGCACAGCUCAGUAACACGUGGCUAACCUGCCCUUGGGAUAGGAAUACCCCCGGGAAACUGGGGCUAAUUCCCAAUAGGUGAAGAACUCUGGAAUGAGUCUCCGCCAGAAACGACGCUUAUGUCAUGCUGUAGGCGUCGCCCAAGGAUGGGGCCGCGACCGAUCAGGUUGUUGGUGAGGUAAUGGCUCACCAAGCCUUUUACCGGUACGGGCCGUGAGAGCGGUAGCCCGGAGAUGGGCACUGAGACAAGGGCCCAGGCCCUACGGGGCGCAGCAGUCGCGCAAACUUUGCAAUACACGAAAGUGUGACAGGGUCAUCCCGAGUGCCGA